GACGAACGCUGGCGGCGUGCUUAACACAUGCAAGUCGAACGGAAAGGCCCUGCUUUUGUGGGGUGCUCGAGUGGCGAACGGGUGAGUAACACGUGAGUAACCUGCCCUUGACUUUGGGAUAACUUCAGGAAACUGGGGCUAAUACCGGAUAGGAGCUCCUGCUGCAUGGUGGGGGUUGGAAAGUUUCGGCGGUUGGGGAUGGACUCGCGGCUUAUCAGCUUGUUGGUGGGGUAGUGGCUUACCAAGGCUUUGACGGGUAGCCGGCCUGAGAGGGUGACCGGCCACAUUGGGACGGAGAUACGGCCCAGACUCCUACGGGAGGCAGCAGUGGGGAAUAUUGCACAAUGGGCGGAAGCCUGAUGCAGCAACGCCGCGUGCGGGAUGACGGCCUUCGGGUUGUAAACCGCUUUCGCCUGUGACGAAGCGUGAGUGACGGGAAUGGGUAAAGAAGCACCGGCUAACUACGU
RNAcentral lists this ribosomal RNA (467 nucleotides) under uncultured bacterium. RNAcentral's name for it is "partial 16S ribosomal RNA". It matches the Rfam family "Bacterial small subunit ribosomal RNA", at positions 28 to 506 of the family's 1533-position model. The record is from RNAcentral.